Molecule: ribosomal RNA, 435 nt
Filed under: uncultured Roseburia sp.
Lineage: Bacteria; Bacillati; Bacillota; Clostridia; Lachnospirales; Lachnospiraceae
Description: partial 16S ribosomal RNA
Rfam family: Bacterial small subunit ribosomal RNA
Source: RNAcentral
ACGGGAGGCAGCAGUGGGGAAUAUUGCACACUGGGCGAAAGCCUGAUGCAGCGACGCCGCGUGAGUGAAGAAGUAUUUCGGUAUGUAAAGCUCUAUCAGCAGGGAAGAAAAAUGACGGUACCUGACUAAGAAGCACCGGCUAAAUACGUGCCAGCAGCCGCGGUAAUACGUAUGGUGCAAGCGUUAUCCGGAUUUACUGGGUGUAAAGGGAGCGCAGGCGGUACGGCAAGUCUGAUGUGAAAGCCCGGGGCUCAACCCCGGUACUGCAUUGGAAACUGUCGAACUAGAGUGUCGGAGGGGUAAGCGGAAUUCCUAGUGUAGCGGUGAAAUGCGUAGAUAUUAGGAGGAACACCAGUGGCGAAGGCGGCUUACUGGACGAUAACUGACGCUGAGGCGCGAAAGCGUGGGUAGCAACCAGGAUUAGAUACCCUGGUA